This is a long non-coding RNA of Cyprinus carpio carpio, 593 nucleotides long. The record is from Ensembl. Lineage: Eukaryota; Metazoa; Chordata; Actinopteri; Cypriniformes; Cyprinidae.
GCUUUGUCCACAAAUCAUAGCAGCCAAAUUUGGAGCCAAUCUAGAGGACAGAUAUUCAACUCAAUGACUUCACUGAACCGCACGAGAGACCAGAGAAACCAGACGAAGAUUGAAAGGAUUCAAAGCCUCGUGCAGAUUUUGCUGAUGUUUGUUGAGGAUGAGGAUCACACACUGUGUCUGUGGCGGAGCAGUCCCGCGAGGGCAAAGAGAGCAGAGCUGGAGCUCAGAGACGCCUGACUUCUGCCUGCCCUUCAGACAGCAACUCCUCCACAAGGUUUUGUGUGAUCACCGGCCUGACAUUAAAGAGAUGCUGCAAGAAAAGAAAUGGGCUUAUCUGAAUGCGGCGCUUUAAUGGGAGAUGUCCUCCGGGCGGCGGGCAAGGUCAGGGCCCGCUGGGGCCAUGGAGACACGAGGGCGCUCUGGACGAGAUCACGAGCCCCGCCUCCCCUCCAGAGUCACUGCACCGUCUCACCGCUGAACACUCUUCACAACGUUCAUGCAUGUGACUUUCUUUCUUUUUGUGGAACACAAAAGAGCUUCUGAGGAAUCUUCUAACUGUUAUCCAUUAUCCAGAUCAUAGGCCUCCUGCAACA